GGAAGCUAAUUCCUUUCCACCAUUUCUCCUUCCUCAGUCAUGCUUCCUAGAAUAUGGAUGUGAUGACCAGGACUCCAGCUGCCAUCUUGAGUCAUGAGGUGACUUUGAGGAUGGAAGCCACAGUGUGAAGGAGCAAGUUCCUGCUUGAAUGAGUCUGAGACUAGAAUUUAGACCUUCAAAUAUGGGACCUCAGCUGUGAUGUUGCUCAGUCUGGAAUCCAGGUUUUCUGAUGCCUAUUGGUGAAGAAAAUGCAUCCCACUGACUGCCCCAGUGCUUUGAAUUUGACCCGUAGCCUUGAAUUGCCUCUAUUUCAUGAGGUUUCUGCUCCUGAGAGUUUUCCCCAACAAACCUCUUGGGGAGUCUUCCAAGUCAACUGAUCAAAGAUACAGUCGAG
Molecule: long non-coding RNA, 394 nt
Filed under: Aotus nancymaae (Ma's night monkey)
Lineage: Eukaryota; Metazoa; Chordata; Mammalia; Primates; Aotidae
Description: lncRNA (ENSANAG00000039100.1)
Source: RNAcentral